AAGGUAGCAUAGUAAUUUGUCUUUUAAUUAAAGGCUUGAAUGAAUGGUCGGACAGGUAGAAGCUGUUUUUAUUAUUUAGGUGAAAUUGACGGCAAGUGAGAAUUCUUGGUUUUUACCCGGGGACGAUAAGACCCUGUAAAGUUUUGAGUUUUUUUUUGUGGGUAGUAAGGGUGUUAGUGAGAGACUUUAGCUGGGACGGCUGGCCUAUUAGUGUGAAUCUAGGCUGAUUUUGACAUUUGUUUUAUGGUCUUGUUGACCCUCAGGAGGARGUAAGGAGGUAACUACUUCAGGGGUAACAGCAUUAUUCUUUUUUAAGUUCAUAUUGAAGGGAGAGUUUGUGACCU
This 344-nucleotide ribosomal RNA is filed under the name Campylaspis rubicunda. RNAcentral's name for it is "partial 16S ribosomal RNA". The record is from RNAcentral. Lineage: Eukaryota; Metazoa; Arthropoda; Malacostraca; Cumacea; Nannastacidae.